RNAcentral lists this ribosomal RNA (247 nucleotides) under Trioceros pfefferi. Its description in RNAcentral is "partial 12S ribosomal RNA". The record is from RNAcentral. Lineage: Eukaryota; Metazoa; Chordata; Lepidosauria; Squamata; Chamaeleonidae.
UCCACACCACCCUAGAGGGGCCUGUCACAUAAUCGAUAACCCACGAUGCACCUCACCACUUUUAGCCUCAUCAGCCUAUAUACCGCCGUCGCCAGCCCAUCUUGAAAAGAAACAAAAUAGGCCCAAUAGUUCUCCCACUAAUACGACAGGUCAAGGUGUAACUCAUAAAAUGGAAAAUGAUGGACCACAUUGCUACCCCAGCUAAACCAAAAUUGCACUGAACCACACACUUUAAGGUGAAUUUAAC